AAUGAACGCUGGCGGCAGGCCUAACACAUGCAAGUCGAACGGGUCCUUCUGGAUAGUGGCGAACGGGUCAGUAACGCGUAGGCAAUCUGCCUUCUAGAUGGGGACAACAUCCCGAAAGGGGUGCUAAUACCGAAUGUUGUAGUUGGUCCGCAUGGACUAGCUACUAAAGGUGGCCUCUGAAUAUGCUACCGCUAGAAGAUGAGCCUGCGUCUGAUUAGCUAGUUGGAGGGAUAACGGCCCACCAAGGCUUCGAUCAGUAGCCGGUCUGAGAGGAGGAACGGCCACACUGGGACUGAGACACGGGCCAGACUCCUACGGGAGGCAGCAGUGGGGAAUCUUCCGCAAUGGACGAAAGUCUGACGGAGCAACGCCGCGUGAGUGAAGAAGGUUUUCGGAUCGUAAAGCUCUUUCGUUAGGGACGAACGUGCUCUUUGUGAAUAAUGAGGAGUAAUGACGGUACCUAAAUAAGAAGCCACGGCUAACUACGUGCCAGCCGCCGCGGUAA
Molecule: ribosomal RNA, 505 nt
Filed under: uncultured bacterium
Lineage: Bacteria
Description: partial 16S ribosomal RNA
Rfam family: Bacterial small subunit ribosomal RNA
Source: RNAcentral